RNAcentral lists this non-coding RNA (117 nucleotides) under Aminomonas paucivorans. RNAcentral describes it as "MoCo sequence". It matches the Rfam family "Molybdenum/Tungsten riboswitch aptamer (Moco RNA motif)". Lineage: Bacteria; Thermotogati; Synergistota; Synergistia; Synergistales; Synergistaceae. RNAcentral also lists the same sequence under 1 other name. The record is from RNAcentral.
CUUGGUUUCAACCUCCGAGCCCCUCUUCCUAAGGGCAUCGCCUAAGGAAUCGGGCCAUCGGGCGUGCCUGGAAACGGGACCGCCUCCCGCUUGGAAAGGGGGUUCCGGUGUGCCGUU